Long non-coding RNA from Amphimedon queenslandica, 679 nucleotides. RefSeq lists it as uncharacterized. The transcript has 6 exons. The record is from RefSeq and is a predicted model, not a curated record. Lineage: Eukaryota; Metazoa; Porifera; Demospongiae; Haplosclerida; Niphatidae.
UCAAUCAGACCCAAACUCAUCCACUAAUCCAUUUGUAUUUUUAGUGUCUCCAGCUUUUUAUGAAACUCCCAAUAAAUAUGAUUGUGACGUGUUCCUGAGAGUCCUUGACAUCAUAUUAAAGCAGCAACUAAUGAUAGAUGAAUCAAUUGCUAAUGUCACCAAAGUUCUCAAUUUUCUCCAUAAUUAUGUUAUUGUCAAGAGUUAAGUACUACUGUUUAAUACUGGAAGCUACACCAAUUCUUCUUGGACCACUCCUCUCAUUAUUCUUAAGGAUGGGGCCAUCCCCCUCCACUCAGAACUGUGUUGUGAUUAUUAAGAAAAUAUUUAGGAAUUAUUUGAAACUAACAAGAGUCAUGCAGAUGAAUUACCAUGUUCAAAGUUAAUGUCAGUGAUACAAGAGUAUCUUGUCAGCAAUUUAUUAAAUAAUAAGGAACAUAUAUUCAGCCCCUUGAUUGCUAUAGCAGCACAUUAUCCCACCCUCAUAUCCAAAGCACUGUCUCUAGCUAAAAAGCUUGUUGAAGAACAUGAAAGUAAAACCUGUCGUCAAGAUGAUUUAUUGUGGAAGCCAUUAAAGAAAUUAGAGGAGGCUGUCACUGUGCCAAGAAAUAAAUUUAACAAGACAUAAUCCUUUUUAUGCAACUAUUACUGUUUAUUUUUAAGUAUGCUAGAAAUAGCAAUU